CAGAGUAGAGGCCUGCGCGUAAAGUGCCGCCCUGACGGGGAGUUGCAGGGCGGACGAAAAGCAUCCGCUUGCGGUGCAGGCUUCGCAUCCCGCUGC
Molecule: non-coding RNA, 96 nt
Filed under: uncultured Ruthenibacterium sp.
Lineage: Bacteria; Bacillati; Bacillota; Clostridia; Eubacteriales; Oscillospiraceae
Description: THF riboswitch
Rfam family: THF (Tetrahydrofolate) riboswitch aptamer
About the family: THF riboswitch presents a pseudoknot that joins P1-P2 and the loop of P3 and two THF binding.
Source: RNAcentral